This 490-nucleotide ribosomal RNA is filed under the name uncultured bacterium. Its description in RNAcentral is "bacterial SSU rRNA". It matches the Rfam family "Bacterial small subunit ribosomal RNA", at positions 133 to 646 of the family's 1533-position model. The record is from RNAcentral.
UAGGAAGAGGAUAACAGCUAGAAACAGUUGCUAAAACUCUAUGGCCCAAUCAGGUGAAGACCAAACGGGUGAAAAAAGUAAUUUGCCUAAAGGAAGCUCGCGUCUGAUUAGCUAGUUGGUGGGGUAAAGGCCUACCAAGGCACGAUCAGUAGCUGGUCUGAGAGGACGAUCAGCCACACUGGAACUGAGAACGGUCCAGACUCCUACGGGAGGCAGCAGUGAGGAAUUUUCUGCAAUGGCGAAAGUCUGACAGAGCAAUACCGCGUGAGGGAUGGAGGCCUACGGGUUUAAACCUCUUUUAUCAAGGAGGAAGACAUGACGUUACUUGAUGAAUAAGCUCGGCUAACCCUGUGCCAGCAGCCGCGGUAAUACAGGGGAUGCAAGUGUAUCCGGAAUUAUUGGGCGUAAAGCGUCUGCAGGUUGAUAUAUAAGUCUUUGUUAAACCUCUGGGCUCAACCCGGAAUCUGCAAAGGAAACUAUUUAUCUGAGU